CAGGUGCAGGAGUGGCUGUGUAGUAAGAAGUUUGCUUCCCAACCUCAUGGUUCCAGGUUCAGUCCCACUGCGUAGCACCUCGGCUGGAUGCCCCUCCUGCCACCAACCUUCACCUGUUUUCAAGCAAGGCAAUAUUUCCCCAUGACUGGAAUGAUUUCAUAGAGGAAUGGAAACAAAUGACACUGCUUGUAAGAAGGUUUAUGUUGCUGGAAACAGUGAUGCUGAUGUACAGUAAGACAGUAGUUCAACAAACAUGUUUUUCUAGCAUGUGUACCAAACUAAAAAAAAUAAUAAUUGGGGCCAAUAUGCCCAACUAAACCCUUAAAUGGUGGUACCCCAGCAUGGCUAAAAUCUAAUAAACGAAUAUAUAUCUUUUAUCAAAUUGGAGGGCACCACCUACUCCGGAUUGAAAUUUUGCAGAUUUUGAUGUAUUUUCUGUUAUUUUGUUUUAAAC
Octopus bimaculoides (California two-spot octopus) is the source of this 454-nucleotide long non-coding RNA. NCBI's taxonomy places the organism in Eukaryota, Metazoa, Mollusca, Cephalopoda, Octopoda, Octopodidae. The record is from RefSeq and is a predicted model, not a curated record.